CGACUACUCGCACACCACAGCAGCUGCAGGACUUUAUCAACCAGUCGAUAUCAGGCAGAUGAAUGGAUAACAAUGGGUUCCGAUAAUAGUUCUGAUAAUGGAGAUCAUUCGCAAUCUUUCAGUUUUUCGAAGGUAGCCGGCCUUUCAACAGUGGUCGUGUUGUCUGUGAUCUGGUGUUUUGUU
This is a long non-coding RNA of Rhinichthys klamathensis goyatoka, 183 nucleotides long. RefSeq lists it as uncharacterized. Lineage: Eukaryota; Metazoa; Chordata; Actinopteri; Cypriniformes; Leuciscidae. The transcript is spliced from 3 exons. The record is from RefSeq and is a predicted model, not a curated record.